This 253-nucleotide ribosomal RNA is filed under the name uncultured bacterium. Its description in RNAcentral is "partial 16S ribosomal RNA". It matches the Rfam family "Bacterial small subunit ribosomal RNA", at positions 524 to 776 of the family's 1533-position model. The record is from RNAcentral.
UACGUAGGGUGCAAGCGUUGUCCGGAAUUAUUGGGCGUAAAGAGUUCGUAGGUGGUUUGUCGCGUUGUUCGUGAAAACCGGGGGCUUAACCCUCGGCGUGCGGGCGAUACGGGCAGACUUGAGUACUGCAGGGGAGACUGGAAUUCCUGGUGUAGCGGUGGAAUGCGCAGAUAUCAGGAGGAACACCGGUGGCGAAGGCGGGUCUCUGGGCAGUAACUGACGCUGAGGAGCGAAAGCGUGGGGAGCGAACAGG